RNAcentral lists this ribosomal RNA (1928 nucleotides) under Granulicella sp. UBA5172. RNAcentral's name for it is "bacterial LSU rRNA". It matches the Rfam family "Bacterial large subunit ribosomal RNA", at positions 3 to 2016 of the family's 2925-position model. The record is from RNAcentral. Lineage: Bacteria; Pseudomonadati; Acidobacteriota; Terriglobia; Terriglobales; Acidobacteriaceae.
UCAAGCUACUAAGGGCGCACGGUGGAUGCCUUGGCAGAAACAGGCGAUGAAGGACGUGGCAAGCUGCGAUAAGCUUCGGGGAGCCGCACACAGGCGUUGAUCCGGAGAUUUCCGAAUGGGGAAACCCACAUGAGCAAACCUCAUGUAUGCCCUACUGAAUACAUAGGUAGGAGCAAGCGAACGGAGGGAAGUGAACCAUCUCAGUACCUCCAGGAGAAGAAAGAAACCUCGAUUCCGAUAGUAGUGGCGAGCGAACUCGGAACAGCCCAAACCCGUACUAUUUCGGUAGUUCGGGGGUUGUAGGGCCUGCAACAGUAGAGUUACCAAUCUGGUCGAUAGUCAAAGUGGUUGGAAAGCCACCCGAUACAGCGUGACAGGCGCGUAGACGAAAUUGAUCCAGACUCGAAGCAGGUACCUGAGUAAGGCGGGGCACGAGAAACCCUGCUUGAAUCCACGGGGACCAUCCCGUAAGGCUAAAUACUCGUUUCUGACCGAUAGUGAACCAGUACCGUGAGGGAAAGGCGAAAAGAACCCCGGGAGGGGAGUGAAAUAGUACCUGAAACCGUGUGCNNAGCGAAAGCGAGUCUGAAUAGGGCGAUUCAGUUGGCAGGAAUAGACGCGAAGCGGGAUGAUCUACCCUUGGCCAGGUUGAAGAUGGGGUAACACCCAUUGGAGGACCGAACCGGUGUUUGUUGAAAAAAGCUCGGAUGAGCUGAGGGUAGGGGUGAAAGGCUAAUCAAAUUCCGUGAUAGCUCGUUCUCUCCGAAAUAGCUUUAGGGCUAGCGUCGUGUGAUUUGGAUCGGUGGUAGAGACAUGGAUGGACUAGGGGGCUUUCCGGCUUACUGAAUCCAACCAAACUUCGAAUGCCGAUCACAACCAGCACGGCAGUCAGACUGUGGGGGCUAAGCUUCACAGUCGAGAGGAAAACAGUCCAGAUCGCCUGCUAAGGUCCCAAAAUUAUAGUUAAGUGGGAAAGGAAGUCGGAACGCUCAGACAGCCAGGAGGUUGGCUUAGAAGCAGCCAUCCUUUAAAGAAAGCGUAAUAGCUCACUGGUCAAGCGGUCCGGUGCCGACAAUACAACGGGGCUAAAACUAUAUACCGAAGCAGCGAAUGCACACCUUUGGUGUGCGUGGUAGGAGAGCAUUCUCUCGUGAAUGAAGCGUAACUGUGAAGAUACGUGGACAUUAGAGAAGAGACCCUGCCGGCAUAAGUAGCGAUAAUGAAGGUGAGAACCCUUCACGCCGAAAGUCUAAGGUUUCCUGAGGAAGGUUAAUCCGCUCAGGGUUAGGCGGUCCCUAAGCUGAGGCCGAAAGGCGUAAGCGAUGGACAUCCGGUUAAUAUUCCGGACCUCCCAAUACCUCGUUAUUACGAUGGGGUGACGCAUAAGGAUAAGCAGGACCUCAUAUGGCUAUGGGGUUUGAUACGCGUAAGCUGGAUUCUCUAGGCAAAUCCGGAGAGUCUUAACAGUGAGGCGUAAAACAGUAAGCCGUAGGGCUGAAAGCUGCUGAUUUCAUGGUGCCAAGAAAAACCUCUAAGGAGAGAGAUUGGGAACCGUACCACAAACCGACACAGGUAGACGAGGAGAAUAUCCAAAGGCGCUCGAGUGAAAGCUUGUUAAGGAACUCGGCAAAUUAGACCCGUAACUUCGGGAGAAGGGUCGCCCCCGUGGGUGCAAGCCUAGGGGGGCCGCAGUGAAACGCGAACGGCGACUGUUUAACAAAAACACAGGUCUCUGCAAAGUCAAAAACGACGUAUAGGGGCUGACUCCUGCCCGGUGCCGGAAGGUUAAAGAGAGAGGUUAGCCGCAAGGCGAAGCUUUGAACUGAAGCCCCGGUGAACGGCGGCCGUAACUAUAACGGUCCUAAGGUAGCGAAAUUCCUUGUCAGCGUAAGUUCUGACCCGCACGAAAGGUGUAACGAUCUGGACAC